CACUGACAUACUUACGAUAAAUUCGACAUGAAUCACACAUUUCCUGCAGUCUUUAGCGUUUUCAUACUUAAUAAUUAGCAGGGUUCGCCAAAACCGUCGGUCCGCCGGUCCUGACCGGCAAAUUUUCUUAGGACCGACAAGUGAUUUAAGAUAAUCGGUCCGACUGACCGACACAAUCGGAUGAAAAAUGGUUUCAAAAAGAUCACUCAAAGUGUAUAAUAUGCUAUUGGAUAAAUAAAAGACAACAAGAAUAGAUGGUGGUAAUUUUCAUGGGCCUUUCUAUCAAGAAAUAGGUGUGAAAGACAUUUAUUUAAUUGAACCUGGAAAUCAACCACCUCAGCUAGUCUUAUUUAUAAGACGCGCAAAGAAUUUAGAGAUACUUUUUAUAUGGGCUAAAUUCUUUGGAACUAUUACCCAUAUAAAAAGUAGCUUAAUAUUUAAGAGCGUCAAAAAUUUGGACUACCACGUCAGCUAAGAGAAAAUAUUUUAACAAUAGGUGUUGUUUUAGAACUUGUGAAAUCGGCUAAUUAACAGAAAUUGAAGUCAUCCAAAGUAGUGUGAAUGGGUGUGUGAGAUUAAGUCAAACUUGAUUGGAUGUCACCCUAACUUUUCAAGAACACGGAUUUGUAGAG
Dreissena polymorpha is the source of this 632-nucleotide long non-coding RNA. RefSeq lists it as uncharacterized. The transcript has 2 exons. The record is from RefSeq and is a predicted model, not a curated record. NCBI's taxonomy places the organism in Eukaryota, Metazoa, Mollusca, Bivalvia, Myida, Dreissenidae.